RNAcentral lists this long non-coding RNA (4291 nucleotides) under Brassica rapa (field mustard). Lineage: Eukaryota; Viridiplantae; Streptophyta; Magnoliopsida; Brassicales; Brassicaceae. The record is from RNAcentral.
GAUUCUGAAGGUGUUUUUGAUGCUUUCUUAACGCCGUUAACCUCGAUGCACUUUUUCGCUCGAAACAAAACGGCAAGAAAAUCAUGCGCGCCCCACGGCCUUACACUUGGAUUGGCCGCGAAAAGGAUAUAUAGAAACAAGAGUGAUGUACUGUCGGGUGCGAUCAUACCAGCACUAAUGCACCGGAUCCCAUCAGAACUCCGCAGUUAAGCGUGCUUGGGCGAGAGUAGUACUAGGAUGGGUGACCUCCCGGGAAGUCCUCGUGUUGCACCCCUUUUUUUUUUUAAUUUUUUUUUGCCUAAAACGAGUCUAAACUGAAAACCCAUAACUUUUGAACCGUGAGGAACUACGUCGCCCAUAGCACCAUUUCGGAAGAGCCCCAGAAACCAUAAUGGGCGGUGAAUAGGGGGCGCAAUUUUUCGGGCUCAAAUUCAGCCGUUUUGACCCUCAAACGGGCUGCGGAAAGUUAUGGCACGUAAAAAAGAUCGAAAGCGGAUUCUCAAGGUGUUUUUGAUGCUUUCUUAACGCCGUUAACCUCGAUGCACUUUUUUUCGCUCGAAACAAAACGGCAAGAAAAUCAUGCGCGCCCCACGGCCUUACACUUGGAUUGGCCGCGAAAAGGAUAUAUAGAAACGAGAGUGAUGUACUGACGGGUGCGAUCAUACCAGCACUAAUGCACCGGAUCCCAUCAGAACUCCGCAGUCAAGCGUGCUUGGGCGAGAGUAGUACUAGGAUGGGUGACCUCCCGGGAAGUCCUCGUGUUGCACCCCUUUUUAUUUUUUUAAUUUUUUUUUAGCCUAAAACGAGUCUAAACUUGAAAACCUCAUAACUUUUGAACCGUGAGGAACUACGUCGCCCAUAGCACCAUUUCGGAGAGCCCCAGAAACCAUAAUGGGCGGUGAAUAGGGGGCGCAAUUUUUCGGGCUCAAAUUCAGCCGUUUUGACCCUCAAACGGGCUGCGGAAAGUUAUGGCACGUAAAAAAGAUCGAAAGCGGAUUCUCAAGUGUUUUUGAUGCUUUCUUAACGCCGUUAACCUCGAUGCACUUUUUCGCUCGAAACAAAACGGCAAGAAAAUCAUGCGCGCCCCACGGCCUUACACUUGGAUUGGCGCGAAAAGGAUAUAUAGAAACGAGAGUGAUGUACUGACGGGUGCGAUCAUACCAGCACUAAUGCACCGGAUCCCAUCAGAACUCCGCAGUUAAGCGUGCUUGGGCGAGAGUAGUACUAGGAUGGGUGACCUCCCGGGAAGUCCUCGUGUGUUGCACCCCUUUUUAUUUUUAAUUUUUUUUAGCCUAAAACGAGUCUAAACUUGAAAACCUCAUAACUUUUGAACCGUGAGGAACUACGUCGCCCAUAGCACCAUUUCGGAAAGCCCCAGAAACCAUAAUGGGCGGUGAAUAGGGGGCGCAAUUUUUCGGGCUCAAAUUCAGCCGUUUUGACCCUCAAACGGGCUGCGGAAAGUUAUGGCACGUAAAAAAGAUCGAAAGCGGAUUCUCAAGGUGUUUUUGAUGCUUUCUUAACGCCGUUAACCUCGAUGCACUUUUUCGCUCGAAACAAAACGGCAAGAAAAUCAUGCGCGCCCACGGCCUUACACUUGGAUUGGCCGCGAAAAGGAUAUAUAGAAAGAAACGAGUGAUGUACUGACGGGUGCGAUCAUACCAGCACUAAUGCACCGGAUCCCAUCAGAACUCCGCAGUUAAGCGUGCUUGGGCGAGAGUAGUACUAGGAUGGGUGACCUCCCGGGAAGUCCUCGUGUUGCACCCCUUUUUAUUUUUUAAUUUUUUUUUAGCCUAAACGAGUCUAAACUUGAAAACCUCAUAACUUUUGAACCGUGAGGAACUACGUCGCCCAUAGCACCAUUUCGGAAAGCCCCAGAAACCAUAAUGGGCGGGUGAAUAGGGGGCGCAAUUUUUCGGGCUCAAAUUCAGCCGUUUUGACCCUCAAACGGGCUGCGGAAAGUUAUGGCACGUAAAAAAGAUCGAAAGCGGAUUCUCAAGGUGUUUUGAUGCUUUCUUAACGCCGUUAACCUCGAUGCACUUUUUCGCUCGAAACAAACGGCAAGAAAAUCAUGCGCGCCCCACGGCCUUACACUUGGAUUGGCCGCGAAAAGGAUAUAUAGAAACGAGAGUGAUGUACUGACGGGUGCGAUCAUACCAGCACUAAUGCACCGGAUCCAUCAGAACUCCGCAGUUAAGCGUGCUUGGGCGAGAGUAGUACUAGGAUGGGUGACCUCCCGGGAAGUCCUCGUGUUGCACCCCUUUUUAUUUUUUAAUUUUUUUUUAGCCUAAAACGAGUCUAAACUUGAAAACCCCAUAACUUUUGAACCGUGAGGAACUACGUCGCCCAUAGCACCAUUUCGGAAAGCCCCAGAAACCAUAAUGGGCGGUGAAUAGGGGGCGCAAUUUUUCGGGCUCAAAUUCAGCCGUUUUGACCCUCAAACGGGCUGCGGAAAGUUAUGGCAGAAAAAAAAAGACCGAAAGCGGAUUUUCAAGGUGUUUUUGAUGCUUUCUUAACGCCGUUAACCUCGAUGCACUUUUUCGCUCGAAACAAAACGGCAAGAAAAUCAUGCGCGCCCCACGGCCUUACACUUGGAUUGGCCGCGAAAAGGAUAUAUAGAAACGAGAGUGAUGUACUGUCGGGUGCGAUCAUACCAGCACUAAUGCACCGGAUCCCAUCAGAACUCCGCAGUUAAGCGUGCUUGGGCGAGAGUAGUACUAGGAUGGGUGACCUCCCGGGAAGUCCUCGUGUUGCACCCCUUUUUAUUUUUUAAUUUUUUUAGCCUAAAACGAGUCUAAACUUGAAAACCUCAUAACUUUUGAACCGUGAGGAACUACGUCGCCCAUAGCACCAUUUCGGAAAGCCCCAGAAACCAUAAUGGGCGGUGAAUAGGGGGCGCAAUUUUCGGGCUCAAAUUCAGCCGUUUUGACCCUCAAACGGGCUGCGGAAAGUUAUGGCACGUAAAAAAGAUCGAAAGCGGAUUCUCAAGGUGUUUUUAAUGCUUUCUUAACGCCGUUAACCUCGAUGCACUUUUUCGCUCGAAACAAAACGGCAAGAAAUCAUGCGCGCCCCACGGCCUUACACUUGGAUUGGCCGCGAAAAGGAUAUAUAGAAACGAGAGUGAUGUACUGACGGGUGCGAUCAUACCAGCACUAAUGCACCGGAUCCCAUCAGAACUCCGCAGUUAAGCGUGCUUGGGCGAGAGUAGUAGUACUAGGAUGGGUGACCUCCCGGGAAGUCCUCGUGUUGCACCCCUUUUAUUUUUUAAUUUUUUUUUGCCUAAAACGAGUCUAAACUUGAAAAACCUCAUAACUUUUGAACCGUGAGGAACUACGUCGCCCAUAGCACCAUUUCGGAAAGCCCCAGAAACCAUAAUGGGCGGUGAGGUGAAUAGGGGGCGCAAUUUUUCGGGCUCAAAUUCAGCCGUUUGACCCUCAAACGGGCUGCGGGCGGAAAGUUAUGGCACGUAAAAAAGAUCGAAAGCGGAUUCUCAAGGUGUUUUUGAUGCUUUCUAACGCCGUUAACCUCGAUGCACUUUUUCGCUCGAAACAAAACGGCAAGAAAAUCAUGCGGCCCCACGGCCUUACACUUGGAUUGGCCGCGAAAAGGAUAUAUAGAAACGAGAGUGAUGUACUGACGGGUGCGAUCAUACCAGCACUAAUGCACGGAUCCCAUCAGAACUCCGCAGUUAAGCGUGCUUGGGCGAGAGUAGUACUAGGAUGGGGACCUCCCGGGAAGUCCUCGUGUUGCACCCCUUUUUAUUUUUUAAUUUUUUUUUAGCCUAAAACGAGUCUAAACUUGAAAACCUCAUAACUUUUGAACCGUGAGGAACUACGUCGCCCAUAGCACCAUUUCGGAAAGCCCCAGAAACCAUAAUGGCGGGUGAUGAAGGGGCGCAAUUUUCGGGCUCAAAUUCAGCCGUUUUGACCCUCAAACGGGCUGCGGAAAGUUAUGGCACGUAAAAAAGAUCGAAAGCGGAUUCUCAAGGUGUUUUUGAUGCUUUCUUAACGCCGUUAACCUCGAUGCACUUUUUCGCUCGAAACAAAACGGCAAGAAAAUCAUGCGCGCCCCCACGGCCUUACACUUGGAUUGGCCGCGCGAAAAGGAUAUAUAGAAACGAGAGUGAUGUACUGUCGGGUGCGAUCAUACCAGCACUAAUGCACCGGAUCCCAUCAGAACUCCGCAGUUAAGCGUGCUUGGGCGAGAGUAGUACUAGGAUGGGUGACCUCCCGGGAAGUCCUCGUGUUGCACCCCUUUUUAUUUUUUAAUUUUUUUUAGCCUAAAACGAGUAUAA